UUAUCGAACGCUAUGUUGGACU
RNAcentral lists this small nuclear RNA (22 nucleotides) under Arabidopsis thaliana (thale cress). RNAcentral's name for it is "snRNA_15916". Lineage: Eukaryota; Viridiplantae; Streptophyta; Magnoliopsida; Brassicales; Brassicaceae. The record is from RNAcentral.